AUACAUGAAUGAAUUAUUGCUUGUAUUAUUUUCCUCUAGUCUCUAUACAUGAAUUUUUUUCCCCUCACUUUUAAUCGUUAAAACAACUUUCUUUUAUGAUGACUAUCGUUUUUAAAUCACUAUUUUUUUUAAAGAGAGCAUCGUUCUUCUUACUUUUUAUUUUCAUGGAACCUGCGGAGCUAUAGGUAUUUUUGACUGUACCUAGCCCAACUGACAAGUCUGAAUUGAAAUGAUUUUGCAACCUAACCCAAGGCAGAAAUUCUCAUUUCCCAUUGGUUUAACGUUUGGCUCAGUCAAGAGAUCAACAAUUUCAGUCUGUACCUACUGUUUGAGGCCAAAAUACUUUUAGCAGAAAGUUGUUUGUUUUAUUUCAUCUAGGGUGUUAUCUGUCGAGUCAAUUAAAGUGAAAUUUGUAUAUUUUAAACGAGAUAGCGUUAUUGUAAGUUAUUUUUUUCUGCUUGCAGUUUUCUAAGCGUCAGAUAUCUAAACUCUUUUAAGUAUUCUCUUAUCAGCUAUUCCGCAAUCGUUCUGUUCCGAUGUGACUCGAAGGAAAAGUCUCUGAACAUGUCAAUUCUCAAAUACUGAUUUCUUGAUUUGGUGCUUGUAGGCUAGAAAGAAGGCUGAAAUCUGAAUGCUCAGCUCUUUCUCCUUUUUUUUGCAUUUAGAUCAGAGAGUUGUUAAUUUUUUUUUUUUUUUUUUUGAUGAUCAAGUUGCUUGUUUUGCUGGUUAAAUUUUACCUCAGUUAUCAAGGGACCCCCAACGUCAAGUUCUGAGGCAUGAGAUGUGAUUUUUGUGUAUUUUUGGAAGAUAAUACACAGUUGUUUUUGAUCCUCAAAAAACUGAAUUCACUGGAUGGGUACCCUAUGAUUGGUUAAUGGCUUUUGUUUACCAAUAUCUACUUUCUCUAACAGAUAAAAGAUUCUUCUGAUCAUCAGAAACCCCAUCGGUAUUUGUUUCUAAACUCUAAAAAACGAAUGUAUUAAAACAAUGAAGGGUGCUUCUCUGAAAUAAAAUUCUAUGACUUUAAAUUUUAUAUAUUCCUUGUCUGCAUUUUUUUCUGCUCAAGUUCUAAAAUGUCACUACUUUUCGUUUUGAUUAUGGCAUACACCAGUCUUUGACAGCCUAAUUUUAUCUAUUCCAUAAAAUAUUCUUUUGCUCUUUCUGGAAGAAAAAAACAAGUACGA
RNAcentral lists this long non-coding RNA (1184 nucleotides) under Bemisia tabaci. RNAcentral describes it as "lncRNA ENSSWEETPG009080". Lineage: Eukaryota; Metazoa; Arthropoda; Insecta; Hemiptera; Aleyrodidae. The record is from RNAcentral.